CACGCUGGCGGCGUGCCUAAUACAUGCAAGUCGAACGCGAAAGGGGCUUCGGCCCUGAGUAGAGUGGCAAACGGGUGAGUAACGCGUGGGUGACCUACCUUCGAGUGGGGGAUAACGUUCCGAAAGGAACGCUAAUACCGCAUGACAUUCUGCCUUUGGACAGGCGGAAAUCAAAGCCGGGGACCGCAAGGCCUGGCGCUCGAUGAGGGGCCCGCGUCC
This 219-nucleotide ribosomal RNA is filed under the name uncultured Acidobacteriota bacterium. Its description in RNAcentral is "uncultured Acidobacteria bacterium partial 16S ribosomal RNA". It matches the Rfam family "Bacterial small subunit ribosomal RNA", at positions 33 to 238 of the family's 1533-position model. Lineage: Bacteria; Pseudomonadati; Acidobacteriota. The record is from RNAcentral.